RNAcentral lists this small RNA (1417 nucleotides) under Arabidopsis thaliana (thale cress). RNAcentral's name for it is "ATSL096830". Lineage: Eukaryota; Viridiplantae; Streptophyta; Magnoliopsida; Brassicales; Brassicaceae. The record is from RNAcentral.
AUGUAAUAUAUAUAAAAGUUUGUAAAUUGUAUUAAUGAUAUUUUUAUUUUAUAGUUUACAAGGAUCACUAAUUCUUUUUGAUGAAGAAGCAUCCAAAGUGAUCAAGAUUAGGGUUCUUCACUACAUGUUUCAGUUUAUUAUGGACAACUCAUGGCAUAUCUAUGUUAGUCCAAAAGCUCUUUGAAAAUUAUUUAUCUACAAAUUUUGAGUUUAGUGAUGCAGAUGCAGGUAAUACUUUCAAAUCAUUCAUGGAUGGAAGAGCGAGCGAGCUUUUGGCAUUGGAGGUCAAAUACUAGAUGAAACUCGAUCAAGAAUGAACCCAGAUUCUCCUGAAGCUCAAGCAUGUCUUAUGAUUGGACCAGAGCCGGAUAUAAGCAACCAGAAUUCCUUCGAGAUAAUAAAGAAGAAUUAGAAGAUAUUGAUAGUGACGUGUCAUCAAUGAGAUCAGAAGAUAGUGAUUAAAGUUUAUUUGUUAUUACUUGUUUUAGUUAGUUUAGUAAACAUCAUUGGGAAUUUAAUGAAAAAAACCCUCAACUUUGGCCAGAUCCAUUUUUAAACCCUAAACUAUGUUUUUAGUAAAACAAACCCUGAACUAAAACCUGUUAAUAAACUUAACCCCACAGUAUUAAAUAUUAAUGGGAUAUUAAUUUCCAAAAAAAACAACAACGAGACAUUUGUAUUUAGCGCAAAAACCACAUGAUGUUCUUUAAAACUGUUUUGAAUUUAUUACAAAAAAAACGUUUAGUGUUCUAAAUGAUUUUGAAUUGCUUAAUUAGUUUGGAUUUUAGAAGCUGAAAGAAAGACACAACAACUUAAAAUAAUCCAAAGAGUCAUGCUUAAAUAAAUCCAACCAACAUAACUAUCGAAGCUGUUGCAACACAACAAUAUUUGUCACAAAAAAAAACAAUCGUUUCAGAGGGACAAGAUAUUCUAAAGUAAAGACUUGUCAAGCAUUAACUUUGAAGAGAAGAUUGUAUUGGUUGAGUGAUAGGGUUCUCUUCAUCCAUUGUUUUCUGUUUUUUCCUUGGUCGUCCUUGAGGUUUCUUGGGUGGUUUUGGCACUGCUUUACGCUUGCAUGAACGUUUGUUGUGUCCGACUUGUUGACAGUUGCUGCAAGUCUAAAUAUGCAAAGAUUAAAUUAAAUAAUUUGAAAAGGAAGAUCUUGUCAAACAUAAUUCAUUGUUCUCUAUUUUACCAUAAUUAUAUCAAUGUUAAGUUUAUUAACAGGUUUAAGUUUAUUACUGUGGGGUUAAGUUUAUUAACAGGUUUUAGUUCAGGGUUUGUUUUACUAAAAACAUAGUUCAGGGUUUAAAAAUGGAUCUGGCCAAAGUUGAGGUUUUUUUUCAUUAAAUUCCCAACAUCAUUAUACCACGGGUUAAUGUUUUAUUCAUAUAUAUAAUAAUAUUAAAUUUUAAAG